GACGCUGGCGGCAGGCUACACCUGCAGUUCGAACGGUAACAGGAUGUGCUUGCACAUCGCUGACGAGUGGCGGACGGGUGAGUAAUGCUUAGGGAUCUGCCUCUGUGUGGGGGAUAACUAUUGGAAACGAUAGCUAAUACCGCAUAAUGUUUACGGACCAAAGGGGGCGUUUGCUCCCGCGCAGAGAGGAACCUAAGUGAGAUUAGCUAGUUGGUAAGGUAAUGGCUUACCAAGGCGACGAUCUCUAGCUGUUCUGAGAGGAAGAUCAGCCACACUGGGACUGAGACACGGCCCAGACUCCUACGGGAGGCAGCAGUGGGGAAUAUUGCACAAUGGGGGGAACCCUGAUGCAGCCAUGCCGCGUGUGUGAAGAAGGCCUUCGGGUUGUAAAGCACUUUCAGUUGUGAGGAAAGGUUAGUAGUUAAUACCUGCUAGCUGUGACGUUAGCAACAGAAGAAGCACCGGCUAACUCCGUUGCCCAGCAGCCGCACGGUAAUACGGAGGGUGCGAGCGUUAAUCGGAAUUACUGGGCGUAAAAGCGCACGCAGGC
RNAcentral lists this ribosomal RNA (550 nucleotides) under uncultured Gammaproteobacteria bacterium. RNAcentral's name for it is "bacterial SSU rRNA". It matches the Rfam family "Bacterial small subunit ribosomal RNA", at positions 32 to 576 of the family's 1533-position model. The record is from RNAcentral. Lineage: Bacteria; Pseudomonadati; Pseudomonadota; Gammaproteobacteria.